RNAcentral lists this ribosomal RNA (253 nucleotides) under uncultured bacterium. RNAcentral describes it as "partial 16S ribosomal RNA". It matches the Rfam family "Bacterial small subunit ribosomal RNA", at positions 524 to 776 of the family's 1533-position model. The record is from RNAcentral.
UACGAAGGGGGCUAGCGUUGUCCGGAAUUAUUGGGCGUAAAGGGCUCGUAGGCGGUCUGUUGCGUCGGGAGUGAAAACUUACAGCUUAACUGUGAGCGUGCUUCCGAUACGGGCAGACUUGAGGUAUUCAGGGGAGAACGGAAUUCCUGGUGUAGCGGUGAAAUGCGCAGAUAUCAGGAGGAACACCGGUGGCGAAGGCGGUUCUCUGGGAAUAUCCUGACGCUGAGGAGCGAAAGUGUGGGGAGCGAACAGG